This 937-nucleotide ribosomal RNA is filed under the name Diploscapter sp. KSH. Its description in RNAcentral is "bacterial SSU rRNA". It matches the Rfam family "Eukaryotic small subunit ribosomal RNA", at positions 70 to 985 of the family's 1831-position model. Lineage: Eukaryota; Metazoa; Nematoda; Chromadorea; Rhabditida; Rhabditidae. The record is from RNAcentral.
CAAAACACACCCCUUUUUAUAAAAUUUUUUAAACACAAAAACACACAACAAGACAAAAAGCAAAACGGCACAAGGCACAUUACCACGGUUUCGACCUAUUUCGGAUAUCUCAAUGGGAUAACUGCGGAAAUACUGGAGCUAAUACCUGCACUUAAAAACCCGACGUAAGUAGGGUUGCAAUUAUUAGGCCAAACCAAUCGUCCUCGGGACGUAUUGUGGCGACUCCAAAUAGCCCAGUCUAUCGUCGGUUCUAUCCGACGAAGGCCGAAAAGGGUUUCUGCCCUAUCAACUAGACGGUAGCCCAGUAGACUACCGUGGUUGUCACGGGCACCGGAGAAUUGGGGAUUGACUCCGGAGAGGGAGCCUUAGAAACGGCUACCACAUCCAAGGAAGGCAGCAGGCGCGAAACUUAUCCACUGCCAAAAAUGAGACAGUGACUAAAAAUAUAAAACCACUCCCUCAUGGGAGGCACAUUUAAAUGAGUAGAGGUAAAAAAGCUCUUCGAGAAACUAAGAGAGGGCAAGUCUGGUGCCAGCAGCCGCGGUAAUUCCAGCUCUCUAAGUGUAAAUCGUUAUUGUUGCGGUUAAAAAGCUCGUAGUUGGAUUUAUGGCGCAUAGUGACCGUUCGCUCAUUCGGGCGUCAAUGCACACGCCAUCAUUUCGGCAGUCUGCGCUAUCUGCGAAAGCAUAUACCUGACUGUCAAGGUUACCUUAAAUAAAGUAAAAUGCUCAAAAUAAGCCUAUGCUUGAAUAUCAUAUUAUGGAAUAAUGAAAUACGACUUCGGUUCAUUUUGAGGGUUAGCGAAUCGGAGUAACGAGUAAUAGGGAUAAGCUCGGGGGCAAACGUAUAUACUGCGGGCAGAGGAAAAAACUCGAACAGCACACCAGAAACACAAUAGUGCGAACACGCUGCGCAUAAUAAUGGUUAAAAAGGAAAA